This 265-nucleotide ribosomal RNA is filed under the name uncultured bacterium. RNAcentral's name for it is "partial 16S ribosomal RNA". It matches the Rfam family "Bacterial small subunit ribosomal RNA", at positions 88 to 354 of the family's 1533-position model. The record is from RNAcentral.
CCGGCGACCGGCGCACGGGUGAGUAACACGUAUGCAACCUGCCCUCUUCAGGGGGACAACCUUCCAAAAGGGAGGCUAAUCCCGCGUAUAUCGGUUUCGGGCAUCCGAGAUCGAGGAAAGAUUCAUCGGAAGAGGAUGGGCAUGCGGCGCAUUAGCUAGACGGCGGGGUAACGGCCCACCGUGGCGACGAUGCGUAGGGGUUCUGAGAGGAAGGUCCCCCACACUGGUACUGAGACACGGACCAGACUCCUACGGAAGGCAGCAG